CCCUGCCAUUUGUACACACCGCCCGUCGCACCUACCGAUUGGAUGGUCCGGUGAAGCCUCGGGAUUGUGACUGUUGCCUUUAUUGGUGUCGGUUGCGAGAACUUGUCUAAACCUUAUCAUCUAGAGGA
This 128-nucleotide ribosomal RNA is filed under the name uncultured eukaryote. RNAcentral describes it as "partial small subunit ribosomal RNA". It matches the Rfam family "Eukaryotic small subunit ribosomal RNA", at positions 1651 to 1780 of the family's 1831-position model. The record is from RNAcentral.